UAAUAGAUUAAAUAAUACAUUUAGCUCUGAUCCAGUAUCAUUGCAGUGAUUCUUUGGAUACCCACUAUCAGGUGAUGUGGAGGCUCAUAAUUCGUCGAAAUUUCCUGAAAGCAAAAAAA
Molecule: small RNA, 119 nt
Filed under: Arabidopsis thaliana (thale cress)
Lineage: Eukaryota; Viridiplantae; Streptophyta; Magnoliopsida; Brassicales; Brassicaceae
Description: ATSL109590
Source: RNAcentral